CUACUCUAGCAUCCUCCCUAUCUUAUUUGGUUAGAACUCCCUCUACCUUUAUUAGUUCUGUUAAUUGCUCUUGAGUUUUAGCAUCCUCUCUUCUAUUUACUUUGUUAGUUCGGUUAAUUUUUUGGCAUGUUUUGUCAUGUAUAAUCAUUUCUAUACAAAGUUCCUGACUCUAUGGCAUCAAAGACUUUCUGGCAAGCACACAAAAUCGUGGAGAUUCACCGAUUAAUUCAUCUUCGGCCAUAAUCAAGAUUUGGUGAAACUCUGAAAAUGGUAUGCGUUUCUUGGCCUUAUUUCUCGCUUCUCAUAUUUAAAUCUGGGAAUGGAUAGUUUUAGCUACUAUGAUUGAGUUGAUGGCCUUGAGCUAUUUGAUCUUUUUUGUAGUUGAGCCCUGUACACGAUAGAUUCGAGAAGAUGAAAAAUAUGCUUGCUAGCAAUUCAUUCCAACUCGCAUGUUUUCAAUUUUAAUUGUGUGUCUGUUAUUAUAUUUCUGUGUUUUAGUUAUUGGGACGAAAGUUAUAAAAUUCAAGCCAUUCCAAAAAUCCUACUAUUACUCAAAGAGUGGAUUUUAAUUUCUAAAUAUCUUUUUUUUUCUAACCAUUAAAUAAUUGAGUUAAAAUAUAACAACAACAAUAACAACCCAGUAUAAUCCACUAGUGGGUCUGGGUCUGGGGAGGAUAGUGUACCCCUAUCUAGGUUAGAGAGGUUGUUUCCGAUAGACCAUCGGCUCCCUCUCUCCAAGAACUCCUCAGGGGUGACUCGAACUCACAACCUCUUGGUUGGAAGUGGAGGGUGCUCACCACUAGAGCAACCUACUCUUGUCAAAUAAUUGAGUUAAAAUAUCCCCUUAAAUUCAAAUUAAUUAGUCUAUUCAAUCGAAUGUUUAAGUUGAAUUUGUGUAUGGCAGAGAAUAUUUUUUCUGAUCAAAUUAGAAUCAAGGAACCAUUUAGUUUACAUGUUCUGAGUUUGUUAAUGUAUUUUAUCUACUUUGAAUGUCCUGAAAAGCGUUUUUAUUUUGAUGUGCAGAUUUCAUUGUCUCAGUUAAAAAAGUGGAUAAAAGCAAGAAAAGUAAUAACUACUGAGCAAUUCCAAAUGUAGUUUAAGCAUUGUUUACCCAAUUUCUAAAUUUAAAAUUUAUUUGUCUAAAACCUCUGUUUUGUUUUAAGUGGCAGAACUGUAUAAACUAAAAUGAACUUGUAGGCAAGAAUUAUGAAAACGGAGAAUUGAUCCUAAAAUAUUUAGGAAGCUUCUUGUCCAAACACAAAGUCACAUCCAAACAACAUAUAUUUUACUUUAUAGUCAUGCUUUUACAAGUUCGUAGCCGGUAAGUAAAAUGACAGUCUUUCAUUUCACUUUCAGUAAAAUUAUCAUUUACUAAUUUCUUUCACAUUCAGUGAUAUCUGUUAUUGUCUAUCAAUAUCUCUCUUUCUUUUACCCUCUAUCUCUCUCUUCCUCUUCUUUUAUAUAUUCUUCAGGUAUUGCAUUUCUUUUCUUUUAUCAGGAUUAAGGGAGAAUCAAGUGGAGAACAUGGAAAAGAAACACUCAGCCUAACAGGUGAGCAAUGAAGCUUUUGGUCAGAUUUUAUCCUUGAAUUUCUGUUUGAUUUGUUGCUAAAUGCAGUGAAGUUUGCGUAUUUUAGUUUCAUAUUAGCGUUUCAAAGUUACUGGAUUGAAUAGUCAUAGUUGCUCCUACGCGGAGGUUGUGUUGAGUCUCCUAUUUGAUUGAUAUGUUUACGACUUCAUUAUUUGCAUUUCUCUCUUUUAAUGGUUUGCCACUUUGGUGUUCUUGCUUGUUCGAACUCCUGGUAACUUUAAGUCAAUGCGAUUAGCGAAAAUUGCUUUGGAAAUAGCUGCAUGGUUCAUGUGCUUACAUCAAGUUUCUGAAUUACUAGAAGAGAGGAGAAAUUUUAUGCACGUAUAUAACUUGAACUUGCAAAUGUUUCAAAUUGAUAAGAGUAUUGACAUGGGAGAUUAUACGAUCUCUUCUCUAAUUGGUGCUAUCUUGAGGGAUUUUAUGUUGCGUGUCGUAAAUAUUUAGUAGAUCUCCAACACUAAAUGGAUACCAAAACAUUUAGUAAAAGAGCAUUUUUGAACAAACGAUAAAUUGAAAUUAUGUCGAAUAAUUCAAAGAACUUCAAUUAUACCUCCUGUAUAUGUGUAUAUUAUAACAAAAGCCAAUGACAAAUACGAGAUAUUGUGAAUUGUGCACCAACAAAUAUAAAAAAGGAACGAAAAAGAUGUAAAUAAGGAAUAACAGACAUCCCAGAAAAAUGAGAAGUGAUAGACUGUCGCAUAAGGAGAAACCUGAGAAUGGAAAAUGAUUGGUAUUUGCCAUCCUUGACCGAGUUCAUUCUAAAACAAAACUGAAAUAUAUUUGUUUACCUAAGAGUCUCAAGAUAAAGAAGUGUCUUUUCCCUUUUGCCAAGGUUAAAUAAAAGCAUUAUCCUGCACUUCAUCGAAUAAGUUAAAGAUGACAAAGCAUUAAACCCAUAUGACACUAGCUAUAGAGAAAAUCAAAAGAAACUACCAACAAUCAUAAAAAGUUAAGAUAAAGGCCUAGAAAUAGAUAGAGGGGUAAAUAGAAUGUCUUUGAAUAAAAACAAAGAAGGGUAGCUUGGUUGAAGAGUAAAAGGGAUCCAAUGCGGGUAAAAGGGUUAAUUCAUCUGUAUUUUCAUAAUUGAUUGGUGUUUAUUUGUUUUCUGAAGGUAUAAAAGUGGUAAUAUAAGUCUUCUCAUAGUUAAAUGAUAUUUUGGAAUGUCAGAGGUUGGCUACCAAGCUGGGUUCUAUAGCAAGUUACUCAUUGCUGAUGGUUAGGAUGUGCUUGUGUGCUUGAAAAUAUAAACAAUUCCUGUGCGUUUGGGUAUUGUAUUUAUAAUAGUUAACUGUGGUUGGACAAUAUUUCUAGAGCCAUACACUAUUCGUAUGUCCUCUUCCACACAUAUUGUACAGAAAGUGCCAUAUUAUGCCCAUAUUGUAUUUAUUUUGUUAUGAUUAUCCAUGUUUAAUUCAUUAUGGAGGACUAUUUCACUUCCAUUAAAAUAUGGAUAAUAUUUCAAUUUUGGUUAGGCUGGAGACCUAUUGGUUUAUGUCAAGAUAUUGGUCAUAUUUUCUCCGCGUAUUUGAGUAAUUAAAUAUGUUAUGUUAAAGCUCUAGAUGAGUUAUUCUAUUGACAAAAAAGCUUAUGACUUUCCUAGAAGGGUAUGAACUGAGGGAGAAAUUCUUAAACAAGUCGUAUAUGCUAAGAAGCAAACUGAAGCACACGAUAGCUUAGGUUUGUCUAAGAUUAAUCCGUUGAGAAAGGAGAGAUAGAAGACGCUUUGAUGGUGGCAAAACUUUACUUCAACAUCUGAAUAUCUUGCUUUAUUUUUUGUACUUUUGAUGUAAAUCUUUGAAUAUAUUAGUAUUAGUAAAUAUAAAACGAAUACUAGAUUUUUAGUUUUCUCUAUAGCUAAAAGCAUUGGUAUGCCUUUGGUCUUUUGCACCUUACUGAACAAAGAAAGGGUAUUCACACUUCAUGUACGAACUUUUUUAUGCACAUGGAGAGUUGAUUGCUUCACAUAGAAAGAAAAUUGUUUUUAUGAUUGCCAAGCUAGAAAAAUGCAAAAUGUACUGUAUGUUGAAACCUUCCAAUCGUAGCGCCCGUCUACCUUUGAUAUGAAAUUAUGAACUGCCUUAUCAUGAAAUGAAUGUCAAUUUAAAUUUAAUUACUUAUAACUGCUUUAAAGCACCGCCCCACAAAAAAGAAUAUGAAAUAUCACUAUCUAGUUUAAAAUAUAGUCACAGCUUAAAAGUUAGUACAAAUAUAACUAGGAAGCGCUAGCUAUGUUUUAAACAAGGAAAUUUCGACUCCUAUAACAAAAGGUAUACACCUUAUUUAUUAUAAAUUAAAAUUACUUUAAAAUAUUAUUAUCUAUAACUACCUUUUAUAUUUUAUAGCAAAAUAAGUAUUUAUGGUAUAUACUACCAUUGAGAUAUGAAAUAUGUUAUUUAUGUUUUUCCUCUCUCUUUCUUUCAAUUAACACAAGAUUCUCUCUUAGAUUUCUUUUUCUUUCUCUCUCUUUCUUUCAAUUAACACACGAUUCUCUCUCAAAAUUUCAACAUAUUUUUUCUUCUUUCUCUCUCUUCCUUCUCUCUCUUUUCGAGCAGAAAACCUGCAUAGUUUGUACGCCGGAUAUUGUAAUGGAUUUGUACUGCUUAGUUUCUACACCAGAUAUUUGCAAUGGAUUUGUAAAGAAAGAGACUGCGACUUUCUCUACGCCCGUUAUUGCAAUGGAUUCCUCUACACGGAUACUACAAUAUUUUUUAUGCCAGAGAAGAUUUGAGGGCCGGGGUUUUUUGUUCGUCUCCAUUUUUAGUUUUAAUACAAUGUACUUGGCCGGAAAACGCCAUAUCCGGAGAACUUUCUUCUCUUCUUUGCUAUUUAGUCCAUACAAUGAUACAAACGUAUUGUAUUAUAUAGAAAUUCACUCAAAUAUAUUGUAUUUUUGUAUAAAAAAUUAUUUUUACUGAAUACAAACAUUAAAAUAGAACAGAAUAUAAAUAGUGAAUACAUUUAAUUUUAAAAUAAAGUAAAAUACAAUAAAAUAUACUGAAUACAAAUAGAAUUACAGUGAAUAUAACUAAUGAAAUAUACUGAAUACAUCAGUAAUAACAUGUAUUAGGAAUAACUAAAAUGCUGCUAAUACAAAUUCAUUUGAAUGCACUAAAUAUAAAAUAGCGAAUACAUUAAAUACAAAUAUUGAAUCUAAUGAAUGCAACAGUAAAAAAAAAUAUAUUUAAACACACAAAAUACUAAAGUUAAAUACAACUGAAAAAUCAUUCUAAUUAAUUGGUUGAUAAUGAGGCAUGUAAGAAUUGAUUUUGUUGAGUUAUAUUAGGAGCGUAUCAUGGUAAUUGAUAUUAUUUCCGUUAUUAGACAGCUGGACAUACCUAUUUUUAAGGUGAUUGUCGGUAUUGUAUUCAUGAAUACAUGACGCGAAUACAUUUGAAUACAUACGCGUACAGCUGGACUGCCCUGAUUUUAGACGCUUUUUGAUGUUGUAUUCAUGAAUAUAGCAGCGCGAAUACAUGUGAAUACAUGCGUGUGCAGCUGGACUACCCUGAUUUUAGGUGCUUUUUGCUGAUGUAUUCAUGAAUACAGCCGCGCGAAUACAUGUGAAUACAUGCGCGUACAGCUGGACUGUCCUGAUUUUAGGCGUUUUUGCUAUUGUAUUCAUAAAUACAGUCGCGCGAAUACAACGAAUACAAUACCGUAACAGCUGAAUAGUAGGUAUAGGAAGUAAUUAUGUAUAUGAUAGCAAUAAGAAGUUAAUAGCCACAAAACAACAAUGGUUUUUGAAAAUUUCUCUUUAAACAAGUCCUAAACUCCCCAAUUAAUCCAAUUAAUCUAGCACUCGAAAAAAGCCCAAAUAUAAAUUGGACCAAUUCUCUGACACCUAAACUAUCCACUGAAAUAGAACAAAGGGCAACAUAUAAAUUUGAUCCGUCGACCGAAACUAAUUAUAUUUACUAGUCGAAAAAUAUAUAAAAUAUGUAUAUUAUAGUACAUAAAAUAUAUAUGUACAAAAAAUAUACUCUAUUUUAGUGGCAUUUACUUUUGGAAACCGCUAAAAAUGUAUAUUUCUCUGGAAUAAAACGCUAUCAGUUAUCAACUUGAGGUGGCUAUUCAAUAUUCUUAAAAUAGAGAAACUGUAAGUUAUGCAGCAACUAAGCUGAGGAAGAAGUUUGAGGUGGUUAUUCAAUAUUCUUAAAAAAUGUUACUGCUUAAUCUGCUAUGUCUAAUAACCUUUUAUUACUGGUCAUGUGCUAAAAAUGUUUUUCUAGGUGGUAACUUUUGAGCUGCAUAGUGUUAUAUACGCAAUUAUCUUAGCUUUUAGUUACUAAUUGUAGAAAUGAGAAAAAAAAUAGAUAUUUAUAUGUGCGCUAUAGUAAUGAAAUCUCAAAGAAUGCGCAGCGCUAACGAGAAAAACGUUACCUUACAUACACCGCGAAAUCACACUUAAUUUUUGCGAGUCUACACAUCUUUAUAUCACUCGUCCAAUUAGUUUUUUCAAAUAAAAAUAAAACUCUUGAAGUCUUAAUGUUGUAUAUGGUAAUGAUAUGAAGUUGACAUAAUAUAAUGAUUCUUAAGAAUUUAUGCAUAGUGCAAAAUAUUUGUCUAAUGAAUGUCACGUUUAAUUUUUAAACCUAUGCACAAAACUAAGGUAAACUAGCAUUGAAAAGCAACCAAAUAUCACACAUUAGUGAUCAAUCCAAGUGGACAAUAAAAAAUCAAGAUUAAAAAAGGAAAGAGAAAUGAUUAAUCUUUUUCUAAAUCACAACGGGCCAUUAGGGGUAAAAUAACGAAAACUGGCUUCUUUUAAGGACUUCAAAUUUAAAAAAUAUUUAAAAUUAAUUUCUUGUUUUUGGUUUCUCACCAACAUUUGAUAUAUAUAUUUUGAGACGCAAUUAAUCCAAAUUUACCUCGACAAAUACACAAUACACAAUAACAAUAAAUCAUUCAUUAUUAAAUUUUAUUUUAUAAAUUACACAUCAUUAUACUUAGAACUCUGAACACGGAAUUACGGGUAUUGAGUCUCAAACUUUGAAUUAUUACUCCGACAUAAGGGUGGCAAGCGGGUCGGGUCCGGUCCCGAUCCCAAACGGGUCGGGACCAGUAAGACCGGUAUUCGUGGGCCUGGUCCGGGCUUCCGGGCCGGUUCUACAGAUGGGACCGCUGGGACCGGACAAGUCCCUGGCGGGCCAAACGGUCCAACGGUCAAAUUUCAAAAAAUAAAUUUAUCCAUUGGGGAAUUUAAAAUCUGGCCGUUGGCUAUUAACAAAAUAGUCAUUUAACACACACCCCCUCCCCCCCCCCCAACUUUUUGUUUUAACCCCAAACUUUUUAUAAUUACACUCUUUCCUAUUUUCAACUAUAAAUACCCCCUCAUUCUUUUAUUUUUCUUACAAAAUCAUCAAUCUAUCACAAUCUCUCUCUAAUUUUCUUCUAUAAUUGCUAUUAUUUCUUACUUUAUUGUUACAAUUUGUGAAAAAAUUAUGAAGUUGGUGAAUUGAAGUCUUCAAGUCUUCAACGAUAAUCAAUUUUCAACAAGUUGUUCGUCAAUUCGUUAAACUCGUUCCAACUCUUAAGUUUUAAUAUUAUUGUUUUGUUUGUUUUGUUUAUUUUCUAUUACUUGAUUAAUUAAGAUGGCUUCCUUAAAAAAGCGUUUUGGUAAAAAUAAGGGAAAAUCCAAGAGUAGCGAAUCUAGUGGUCAAUUUGUUCCUCCUCCACUGCCCCCGGCUCUCCGAUCCAAACCCCAUAUCCGUCCUACACCUGCUAGGGAUGGGCAUAAAAUCCGAAAAACUGAAUUCUGAAUCGAACCAAAUUAAUUUGGUAUUUCGGUUUUUUUGAUAUUUUGAUUUAUUUCGGUACAAAAAUUACAGUAUUUUUGUAUUUCAGUAUGGUAUACGGUAUUGGGUUUUUGAUAUUUUGGUAUACCGAAAUACCGAAAUAUUUUAGUCCAAGCCCAACUUUAUUUUUAUUUUUUAGCCCAAUAACCUUAAACUCACACCCCAAAAGUUCAAAACCCUUAAUUCCCUAAUCCCUUAGGCUUAGAGGCAGACAAGAAAAGGAAAAGCUACGCCUACGGGCAGUAUCAAAAAAACCAUUUCCCUUUCAAUUUUCUAACUUAGGUCAAAAAAUUCAACUUUGCUAGUUUGCUUGGUUGUUGCGGAUUCACGAGUUACGACUCACGACUACAAUAGUUUCACGACCUCGGCGACUCCUCUCCUCAACGAUUGCUUGUUUGCUCAUUGUUGACCUUCAUUCAUGUUCAUAACUUAUCCAUUCUUCAUUGUUGAUCAUCAUUCAUACGAGUUAUAAUCACAUUUCUGAGUUAAGUUGCUUUUUAACUAAGCCGUUUGUUUCAAUUUCUUUGUUCUUGUUGCUUACAACCUUGGUAUGUAUUGAUAUAUGUCAUUAGUAAACUGGAAUUGGCAGUCAAAUUAGAGUUUUCCUGAUUAGGAUGUUAAACUGUCUAGAAAUGAUUACUACGAAGGAGAAAAAUCAUUCAUUGUCACUCUGUUUCUAUCUUCUUGUUUGAUAUUUGCUUUCAAGUAUGUCAAUGAUAAUGCCAAUUUUAUGUUUCAUGACCUUUUACCUUCUCCUUUAAAGCUUAUUGAAUGAGUUGUCACUAUAAAAGGAAUGUCAUAGAUUCAAUUUGGCCAUUUACUCCAAAUAGUUUUUCCUUAUGAUGUGUGAUUUGUUCUUGUACUAGGCUGCUCUCUGCUAAUUACACGAUCAUUUGCCCUUGUAGUGUUUUGCUUGUAGUGUUCUAUGUAGUAUUUUGGUUUUAACAAUUUGUGUUUAUAUUUGUUUUAAUUUUGUGUAGAUGGCGGAUGAAAGUAGAGUAAGUGAUGUUAGUUCAACUGAAAGCUUACCUAUUACUGAUGAUAGCAAUGCCAACACAAUUGAUGAAGCAUGUUAGGGCUUGUCUUGAGCGUCUUCCAAAAAUUCUUAUUUAAGUUGAAUUUAGUGAAUUGAGACAAUCUAUGUUAUUUUGCUUUUAUUAGACUGCCUUGUUGUUGUUGCCUUGUGGUAUUUUGCAUUGUUGUUGCACUGUAACAGUCUAACAGAGGAGUCGACUUGGAGUCUUGGACUGUGUUUAGACUUAAGUGUUCUGUUUUUCUGUACGGUAAAACUAAUUGGGUUAACUGGUUAAGUGUUAUGUUUUC
Molecule: long non-coding RNA, 8708 nt
Filed under: Nicotiana tabacum (common tobacco)
Lineage: Eukaryota; Viridiplantae; Streptophyta; Magnoliopsida; Solanales; Solanaceae
Description: long non-coding RNA (NTAB_LNC006287)
Source: RNAcentral